This 460-nucleotide ribosomal RNA is filed under the name uncultured bacterium. RNAcentral describes it as "partial 16S ribosomal RNA". It matches the Rfam family "Bacterial small subunit ribosomal RNA", at positions 338 to 795 of the family's 1533-position model. The record is from RNAcentral.
CCUACGGGAGGCAGCAGUGAGGAAUAUUGGUCAAUGGACGAGAGUCUGAACCAGCCAAGUAGCGUGAAGGAUGACUGCCCUAUGGGUUGUAAACUUCUUUUAUAUGGGAAUAAAACGUUCCACGUGUGGGAUUUUGUAUGUACCAUAUGAAUAAGGAUCGGCUAACUCCGUGCCAGCAGCCGCGGCAAUACGGAGGAUCCGAGCGUUAUCCGGAUUUAUUGGGUUUAAAGGGAGCGUAGGUGGAUUGUUAAGUCAGUUGUGAAAGUUUGCGGCUCAACCGUAAAAUUGCAGUUGAAACUGGCAGUCUUGAGUACAGUAGAGGUGGGCGGAAUUCGUGGUGUAGCGGUGAAAUGCUUAGAUAUCACGAAGAACUCCGAUUGCGAAGGCAGUUCACUGGACUGCAACUGACACUGAGGCUCGAAAGUGUGGGUAUCAAACAGGAUUAGAUACCCCGGUAGUC